AGACACAAAGCUUUAUAUAACUUGGAAAACAUGGCCGUCAAUCAUGGCAAGUUUCUUGAGCUUAUAUUGUUGCUAAGCAAAUAUGAUGUCUGCCUACAAGAGCAUGUUGGUGGAGCAUUGAGAAGAGCAAGAAGCAGAUGGGAAGUAAAGGACGAGUGUCCUUGGUAACUAUGACGUCCAAAACAACAGCAUAUAAAGUCAUUGAAGUCAUCAGAAUGUUGAUUCAGCAGACAAUUGCUGUUGAAGCGAGAAAGGCAGGGAUGUUCUCAAUACAAAUGGACACAACUCAGGCUUUAACAUCCAAAGACCAGUGUGCAAUAGUUCUGCGAUUAUGUCACUGAUGUUGUCCACGAGAGACUCAUUGCGGUCAUUGACUGUGAGUCAUCGACUGGACAGUACUUUGUGGACCUUGUCUGCAUCGCUCACAGGAGAGUCUCCUAACCAAGUACCCAUAUAGUGUUACUAUGUGUCCUCAACCUUGUACUAACUGACACCACUGGGGUUGUACUGAAUGACAUUGCAGUGUCGUUCGAGAUUCCUACAAGAGCAUGAAGCUAUGGGAGGAAACCAGUGAGGAAAGGAGACACAGGCGGCUUGAUGUAACUGGUGAAACACGCUGGUGGGCCAAAGAAGAGGCCUCGAGGAAAGGAGACACAGACGGCUUGAUGUAACUGGUGAAACACGCUGGUGGGCAAAGACGAGGCCUCGAGGAAAGGAGACACAGACGGCUUGAUGUAACUGGUGAAACACGCUGGUGGGCCAAAGACGAGGCCUUGAGGAAAGGAGACACAGAAGGCUUGAUGUAACUGGUGAAACACGCUGGUGGGCCAAAGACGAGGCCUUGAGGAAAGGAGACACAGAAGGCUUGAUGUAACUGGUGAAACACGCUGGUGGGCCAAAGAAGAGGCCUUGUUGAAAGUAUUUGGAAGCUUUGCAAAGCCUGACUGUGCACUUUACACUAAUUGGUGACGGAGGAUAACCUGAGAAAGUGCGCCCGAGACUUUGAGGGAGUGAAGAGGGCUGCAGACGACUUUGUUGAGUGGGCCAAUGGCAUUCUGGAGGAGCAGCAGAACUGAUACCGAAGCUCAGACUGCUCUCCCAGAGAAGAGAACAACAGAAAAAAAGAAGAGAAAACCAGGUGAGUUGGCAGAAGAUGAGCCCAUUGCUAAUGCAGAAAUGGAUUACAAAAUCAAGAUCCACAAUGUGGUACUGGACACUGUUGUUGAAAGUAUUCACUGACGUUAUGCAGCAAAUGCAGCGCUGUGUACAGAUGUCUCCUGCAUGAAUCCAAAGCAUUUUCCUGAGAUCAGAGAAAAGGGCCUUCCAAAGACAGCCAUGAAGGAGCUCAGCCAAUGUUUACUGGAAUUUUAU
Molecule: long non-coding RNA, 1371 nt
Organism: Oncorhynchus tshawytscha (Chinook salmon)
Lineage: Eukaryota; Metazoa; Chordata; Actinopteri; Salmoniformes; Salmonidae
Source: Ensembl